UCAGUUGUUCUCCUGACUGAAGUUUGGUCCGUUUACAGCAUCCUGCCAUGCGAUUGCAUUUGUCUCUAACUGUCACGGACCCGGCUCUGGAGGACUCGGGGGUCCGCGAGCAGGAUGGACCAUUAUUAUUAUUAUUAUUAUUAUGGUUAUUUGGGGAUGUGUGUUUGUCUGCACAAUGCUGUGUUAUUCUGUGGUCCACUCGUUAUAUGUAUAGGCAGGGUGUGGGUGUAUAGGUGUGGCUGUAGGAUGGAGGACAGCCACCUGCAGGCCUGAUGGGUGUGGCCCUGCUGGAGGACUGGCCACACCUGAAGUCCCUGCCACACACCUGCUGCUGAUCUGGGCUCGUCGGGGGAGCUAUUUAGGAGAGUGUUGGAGCUCCCACCGGCGCGGGAUCAUUAAGCUAGACUCCAAGUGGAACGAGGGACCAGAAGGGCAGCACACACAGGGUGUGCAGAAACACAACUGCCGGGAGCACGAGCACGGACGUCAGAGGGGAACACACACACGGGAGUCUAGGGAGCAAAGGGGGUUUAUUGUGCAUCUGUUACCUCACUGUAAAUAAACGCACUGUUCACA
This is a long non-coding RNA of Oreochromis niloticus (Nile tilapia), 576 nucleotides long. RefSeq lists it as uncharacterized. NCBI's taxonomy places the organism in Eukaryota, Metazoa, Chordata, Actinopteri, Cichliformes, Cichlidae. The transcript has 2 exons. The record is from RefSeq and is a predicted model, not a curated record.